RNAcentral lists this ribosomal RNA (253 nucleotides) under uncultured bacterium. RNAcentral's name for it is "partial 16S ribosomal RNA". It matches the Rfam family "Bacterial small subunit ribosomal RNA", at positions 524 to 776 of the family's 1533-position model. The record is from RNAcentral.
UACGAAGGGUGCAAGCGUUGUUCGGAAUUACUGGGCGUAAAGCGCGCGUAGGCGGGCUGGUAAGUCGAUUGUGAAAUCCCUGGGCUUAACCCGGGAACUGCAGUCGAAACUACCGGUCUUGAGUGCCUGAGAGGAUGGCGGAAUUCCCGGUGUAGUAGUGAAAUACGUAGAUAUCGGGAAGAACACCUGAGGCGAAGGCGGCUAUCUGGCGGUGCACUGACGCUGAGGCGCGAAAGCGUGGGGAGCAAACAGG